Molecule: ribosomal RNA, 441 nt
Filed under: uncultured Verrucomicrobiota bacterium
Lineage: Bacteria; Pseudomonadati; Verrucomicrobiota
Description: bacterial SSU rRNA
Rfam family: Bacterial small subunit ribosomal RNA
Source: RNAcentral
GGGCCCGCACAAGCGGUGGAGCAUGUGGCUUAAUUCGAUGCAACGCGAAGAACCUUACCCAGGCUUGACAUGCACAGGAAAGUCCGGUGAAAGCCGGAGCCCUUUUCGGAGUCUGUGCACAGGUGCUGCAUGGCUGUCGUCAGCUCGUGUCGUGAGAUGUUCGGUUAAGUCCGGUAACGAGCGCAACCCUUGUCCUUAGUUGCCAGCGAGUAAUGUCGGGAACUCUAGGGAGACAACCUCCUAUGGAGGGGGAAGGUGGGGAUGACGUCAAGUCAGCAUGGCCCUUACGCCUGGGGCUGCACACGUGCUACAAUGCCCAGUACAAUGAGAUGCAAACCCGCGAGGGGGAGCCAAACUAUAAAACUGGGCCCAGUUCGGAUUGGAGUCUGCAAUUCGACUCCAUGAAGUUGGAAUCGCUAGUAAUCGGAGAUCAGCAUGCUC